RNAcentral lists this transfer RNA (68 nucleotides) under Marmota monax (woodchuck). RNAcentral's name for it is "tRNA.Ala". The record is from RNAcentral. Lineage: Eukaryota; Metazoa; Chordata; Mammalia; Rodentia; Sciuridae.
GGAUUGUGGCUCAGUGAUAGAGUGCUGGCCUCGCAUGCAUGAGGCACUGGGUUCGAUCCUCAACACCA